RNAcentral lists this ribosomal RNA (253 nucleotides) under uncultured bacterium. Its description in RNAcentral is "partial 16S ribosomal RNA". It matches the Rfam family "Bacterial small subunit ribosomal RNA", at positions 524 to 776 of the family's 1533-position model. The record is from RNAcentral.
UACGUAGGGUGCGAGCGUUGCCCGGAUUUAUUGGGCGUAAAGGGCGCGUAGGCGGUCACGCGCGUCCGUUGUGAAAUCGCUCGGCUCAACUGGGCGAGGUCAGCGGAUACGGCGUGGCUGGAGCAAGCUAGGGGGCAAUGGAAUUCCCGGUGUAGUGGUGGAAUGCGUAGAUAUCGGGAGGAACACCAGUGGCGAAGGCGGUUGCCUGGAGCUUUGCUGACGCUGAUGCGCGAAAGCGUGGGGAGCGAUCCGG